RNAcentral lists this ribosomal RNA (222 nucleotides) under uncultured bacterium. RNAcentral's name for it is "partial 16S ribosomal RNA". It matches the Rfam family "Bacterial small subunit ribosomal RNA", at positions 109 to 334 of the family's 1533-position model. The record is from RNAcentral.
AGUAAUGUAUGGGGAUCUGCCCGAUAGAGGGGGAUAACUACUGGAAACGGUGGCUAAUACCGCAUAAUGUCUACGGACCAAAGCAGGGGCUCUUCGGACCUUGCACUAUCGGACGAACCCAUAUGGGAUUAGCUAGUAGGUGGGGUAAAGGCUCACCUAGGCGACGAUCUCUAGCUGGUCUGAGAGGAUGAUCAGCCACACUGGGACUGAGACACGGCCCAG